AACUGAUACUACCUGCGGGAACCUGCGGAAGGAUCAUUACCGAGUGAGGGCCCUCUGGGUCCAACCUCCCACCCAUGUUUAUUGUACCUUGUUGCUUCGGCGGGCCCGCCUUUGUGGCCGCCGGGGGGCUCUGCCCCCGGGCCCGCGCCCGCCGAAGACACCUAGAACUCUGUCUGAAGAUUGCAGUCUGAGUGAAAAUAUAAAUUAUUUAAAACUUUUAGCAAUGGAUCUCUAGAUCGG
RNAcentral lists this unclassified non-coding RNA (240 nucleotides) under soil metagenome. Its description in RNAcentral is "partial contains 5.8S ribosomal RNA, internal transcribed spacer 2, and large subunit ribosomal RNA". The record is from RNAcentral.